Phragmites australis (common reed) is the source of this 139-nucleotide small nucleolar RNA. RefSeq annotates it as small nucleolar RNA Z247. Lineage: Eukaryota; Viridiplantae; Streptophyta; Magnoliopsida; Poales; Poaceae. The record is from RefSeq and is a predicted model, not a curated record. The transcript has a single exon.
CCACUCAUCGAUCAAGAGGUGAUUGCUUACUUCCUUGCUGGACUCGAGGGUGACUAUGAUCCUCUGAUGGCGACGGUCACUCUUCGCAAUGAUCCCAUAGUGCUCAGUGAUUUCUAUGUGCACUUCCUCAACUUUGAAG